GAUGAACGCUGGCGGCGUGCCUAAUACAUGCAAGUCGAGCGAACAGACGAGGAGCUUGCUCCUCUGACGUUAGCGGCGGACGGGUGAGUAACACGUGGAUAACCUACCUAUAAGACUGGGAUAACUUCGGGAAACCGGAGCUAAUACCGGAUAAUAUAUUGAACCGCAUGGUUCAAUAGUGAAAGACGGUCUUGCUGUCACUUAUAGAUGGAUCCGCGCCGCAUUAGCUAGUUGGUAAGGUAACGGCUUACCAAGGCAACGAUGCGUAGCCGACCUGAGAGGGUGAUCGGCCACACUGGAACUGAGACACGGUCCAGACUCCUACGGGAGGCAGCAGUAGGGAAUCUUCCGCAAUGGGCGAAAGCCUGACGGAGCAACGCCGCGUGAGUGAUGAAGGUCUUCGGAUCGUAAAACUCUGUUAUUAGGGAAGAACAAAUGUGUAAGUAACUAUGCACGUCUUGACGGUACCUAAUCAGAAAGCCACGGCUAACUACGUG
Molecule: ribosomal RNA, 497 nt
Filed under: uncultured bacterium
Lineage: Bacteria
Description: partial 16S ribosomal RNA
Rfam family: Bacterial small subunit ribosomal RNA
Source: RNAcentral